CCCAAACUUUGGGCCUACCUUCUCUCCUGGCUAGCUCACCAGAAUAUGUUACCAGUAGAGGGUCUUGACUGCAAGUUGUUUAGGUUCUUGGCAUUUUGAACAAAGACUUGGAAGAAACACCCAGCAAAGCAAUGAAAGAAUGCAGCAUCAAAAGAAUGAAAACAGGAAUUUAUUGAAAAUGAAAGUACACUCCACAGUGUGGGAACAGGCCCAAGCAGUGGCCCAGAUACAGAAUCUUCUUGGGUCCAAAUGACUACUAGAGGUUUCCCGUUGGCUGCUUGGUGCUGACCUAAUGUAAAUGAAAUGGUGGCCUGCAGUCAGUCAACCAAUCAGAGGCUGAAGUAAAGUUACAAAAGUCACACUCCUACGCAAAUAUCUGAUUGGUUGCAAAAAGCAACCAAUCAGAGGUACUUUUAAUUUCCCAUCUGCCAGGCAGAAAAGGUAGAGGUUUGCAAAGGGAGUAGUCUCUGGUCCUUUUGUUACUUAGGUGUGGAAAGUUAGGGUUUUCCCAUCAAUUUAGCUUAAGGACGUUAGCGUGAAACAGCCUUAGGUUUCCUGCCUCCAGACCAUGUUCUCCUGCCUCAGGAUCACAGGCUCACGCCACCAUGCCUGGCUAAUUUUUGUAUUUUUUGUAGAGAUGAGG
This 643-nucleotide long non-coding RNA is filed under the name Homo sapiens (human). Its description in RNAcentral is "HSALNT0261848". Lineage: Eukaryota; Metazoa; Chordata; Mammalia; Primates; Hominidae. The record is from RNAcentral.